RNAcentral lists this microRNA precursor (60 nucleotides) under Pristionchus pacificus. RNAcentral's name for it is "microRNA ppc-mir-8244 precursor". The record is from miRBase by way of RNAcentral. Lineage: Eukaryota; Metazoa; Nematoda; Chromadorea; Rhabditida; Neodiplogasteridae.
UGGUAUUUUCCCGGCGCAUUUUACAGUCUUCGAAUCUGUAAUGCCCUAGGAAAUGCCUAG